RNAcentral lists this ribosomal RNA (1343 nucleotides) under uncultured bacterium. RNAcentral's name for it is "16S ribosomal RNA". It matches the Rfam family "Bacterial small subunit ribosomal RNA", at positions 28 to 1378 of the family's 1533-position model. The record is from RNAcentral.
GACGAACGCUUGCGGCGUGCUUAACACAUGCAAGUCGAACGGAAAGGCCCUGCUUUUGUGGGGUGCUCGAGUGGCGAACGGGUGAGUAACACGUGAGUAACCUGCCCUUGACUUUGGGAUAACUUCAGGAAACUGGGGCUAAUACCGGAUAGGAGCUCCUGCUGCAUGGUGGGGGUUGGAAAGUUUCGGCGGUUGGGGAUGGACUCGCGGCUUAUCAGCUUGUUGGUGGGGUAGUGGCUUACCAAGGCUUUGACGGGUAGCCGGCCUGAGAGGGUGACCGGCCACAUUGGGACUGAGAUACGGCCCAGACUCCUACGGGAGGCAGCAGUGGGGAAUAUUGCACAAUGGGCGGAAGCCUGAUGCAGCAACGCCGCGUGCGGGAUGACGGCCUUCGGGUUGUAAACCGCUUUCGCCUGUGACGAAGCGUGAGUGACGGUAAUGGGUAAAGAAGCACCGGCUAACUACGUGCCAGCAGCCGCGGUGAUACGUAGGGUGCGAGCGUUGUCCGGAUUUAUUGGGCGUAAAGGGCUCGUAGGUGGUUGAUCGCGUCGGAAGUGUAAUCUUGGGGCUUAACCCUGAGCGUGCUUUCGAUACGGGUUGACUUGAGGAAGGUAGGGGAGAAUGGAAUUCCUGGUGGAGCGGUGGAAUGCGCAGAUAUCAGGAGGAACACCAGUGGCGAAGGCGGUUCUCUGGGCCUUUCCUGACGCUGAGGAGCGAAAGCGUGGGGAGCGAACAGGCUUAGAUACCCUGGUAGUCCACGCUGUAAACGGUGGGUACUAGGUGUGGGGUCCAUUCCACGGGUUCCGUGCCGUAGCUAACGCUUUAAGUACCCCGCCUGGGGAGUACGGCCGCAAGGCUAAAACUCAAAGGAAUUGACGGGGCCCCGCACAAGCGGCGGAGCAUGCGGAUUAAUUCGAUGCAACGCGUAGAACCUUACCUGGGUUUGACAUGGAUCGGGAGUGCUCAGAGAUGGGUGUGCCUCUUUUGGGGUCGGUUCACAGGUGGUGCAUGGCUGUCGUCAGCUCGUGUCGUGAGAUGUUGGGUUAAGUCCCGCAACGAGCGCAACCCUUGUUCACUGUUGCCAGCACGUUAUGGUGGGGACUCAGUGGAGACCGCCGGGGUCAACUCGGAGGAAGGUGGGGAUGACGUCAAGUCAUCAUGCCCCUUAUGUCCAGGGCUUCACGCAUGCUACAAUGGCUGGUACAGAGAGUGGCGAGCCUGUGAGGGUGUGCGAAUCUCGGAAAGCCGGUCUCAGUUCGGAUUGGGGUCUGCAACUCGACCUCAUGAAGUCGGAGUCGCUAGUAAUCGCAGAUCAGCAACGCUGCGGUGAAUACGUUCCCGGG